Long non-coding RNA from Peromyscus californicus insignis, 14305 nucleotides. RefSeq lists it as uncharacterized. The transcript has 2 exons. The record is from RefSeq and is a predicted model, not a curated record. Lineage: Eukaryota; Metazoa; Chordata; Mammalia; Rodentia; Cricetidae.
CCCACUUGGGUGAAUACUGCAUGCACUACUCGCCAUAGAAAGGGUGCAGUCUUGGCAAGCCUCUUCUUAUUAGUCUAAAAAUAAAUUAUUCACAAUACAGGUUCAGAUACAGAUUGCAAGGAGAGAUAAUAGAAUUGGUUUUCCAAGCCUGAUCAUGCUCGGAAGACAUGGUAUGUGCUUUUCAGGAAUCCACUUCAACGGAAUCAGCUUUGACGAGCACACACAAGAAAUAAUAUUGCUGCCAUCCAGCUUGUGUCUGCGGUACAGCAUCCUUUGCUCGUCUUCAAGUACCCACGGUCCUUCUCCAUCAGUGUGCAUAUGGAAAAGUCCACGUUGCUCAAGCAUUUCUUCUGAGAUGCCGCCCUCCCAUUGUUCUUUUAAGGAAAUUUCUUCCUGGCAGCGUGAGAGGGGCACUGCCUCCUACCCCCCUUCUGCCUCGGCGGAACAGUUGACCACAGCAGCAGCCGACUCCGGCUCGUCAUGUGCUUCCUCAUGUGAUGUAGGUCUGCGGCACUGUGGAGCAACCGCAUUUGAGACUCGGCACUCAUGGACAGACGGGCGUUCAGGGACUGGGGAGUUUUUGGAGGGGGUGGGGAGGCCAAUAAACCAAGAAAACGUCAGAAAUAAAAGUCGCAUCAAGCACCGAGCUGCGCUGUUUUCUUUCUUUCUUUUUUUCUUUCUUUUUCUCUUUUUGUUUUUUUGAAAUUCUGAAGCCAGAGCGUCUUCUUCACAGCUUCAGGGCUGCAUCACUGUGGGCACACCAAGCUUCGCCUGCCUCACCUGCAUGGUUUCUGCUGACUCCCGCCUGAGAUGGCCCACCGUACACCCAGAACCCCGGAGUCGCCUGUCUGCGCCCUGCAGAAGAAGGACCUGCUGCAAGCUCUGGCCAGGGUCUCCUCACAGCUGGAUGGGGGUCUUGGAAGACAGGGUGAAGUUGCAGAAGACUGGGAUGGGAUGCUAGGGGCAUGCAAAGGACUGGGAAGGGGAAUUUAGGAAUACUAUACAUCAAUGCCCACCGAUGCUAUGCAUACAGGGCGAGCGAGGGCAGCCGGAGCCCCUGCCUGAUGUACCCAGCUCUGGCUGCUCUCUAGGAUUAUUAGUCUGAAGAGACAACCCGGGCCUGGAUGUGGUGCUUUUUUUCCCAGAGAGUGGAACGGAAGAUGAAUGAACCAGGUAUCUGCUGUGUCUGCCUGGCAGGGCAGAGCUGGAGAAAGGCAGAGGGAAAAGAAGAGGCGAUGUUGCCACUGACUGUGGGGAGAUUGCUCUGGGCUCCGCAGUCUUAGUCUAAGGGAGGAUGGCAUAAUGUAUAUGCCAGCACAUGCAUGGAGGAACUGUAAACUGCAGCAUGGAUGUCCCUGGUACUGUCAAGGAAGAAACUGAUGGGCUGGGUGACUAGAUAGUGUCCCCAGAGAAAAUAGCAGUCUUGCAGCAUGGAUUUAAGUGCAUGUGCAUGUGUGUAGAGACAUGGAAGGGAGUGUGUAACACACACACACACACACACACACACACGAGAGGAGAGAGAGAGAGAGAGAGAGAGAGAGAGAGAGAGAGAGAGAGAGAGAGAGAGAGAGAGAAUCACUUUGCUGGGUUGGGCUUGAUUACAGCCAGUAUUUUCAGCUUCUGCUCAACACCCAUUUCCUGGCUAGCCAGAAAGCUUGGCCAGAGCAGCUGUGUGUAGACUUUCUUUAUAAUGGCAGAGCAAGCCCCUUCAGUUUUAACUCCUUGAAGUUCUGAGUGCUCAGCGUUGGGCUAAGACUCACUGUGCAGUUUUGUUUUCUUCUUCUCCUACAGAGCCCUGUAAACACAGCUGUAUUCAGUAUGGCGGAAAAAUUCUGUCCCUUAAAUAGAAAUGUGAUCGAUUUUCAUCAAAAUAAAUGUAUCCCAGAUGACUUUGAGGCCAGCUGGAUACCACAGGCUUCAGGGGCUAAGCAUUCAGUGGAGAUGAAUACAGUGUUAGAUUUACAUGCUUUCCAUGCUAGGAUCAGUGGUGCUUAAUAAAGGAAAUUCUUUAAGGAAGAGGGAGGGUCCUCCUGGCUCACAGCUAGAUGGUGAAGUACAGGUGCUGCUGCUGAUCAUGGGCUGGGGGUUGGAGCUGUCGAGUUUCCAGAGGUGUGUGACAUGAAGCAGAGCAUGGCUGAUGUCAGCGUGAAGAAAGCUCGCAGCCUACUGAUUGCUGUCGGAGGCAGAUGGCUUCUCCAUAGCCUGUCAGGGCUGGGUGGGUAGAAGGAGCUUGUCGAUUGCUAGGAGUGAGCUGGGUGGACUGAGCUCUGAGCUGAGAGCGAGCAGCUUUCCCAGUUGUCAUGGGGGCUCCUCUGGGACGUAUGUCUGGCCUGUCCACCCACUGUUUGUUAGGAAUUCUACAAAGCGGCUCUGUGUGCUGGAUUAUGUUUGGCCAGCUGUUAGUGCAUUCCUGAGGGUGGGGCGGAGGCAGGAUCUUAUUACUGUACUUCCAAACUGUAGAUCUAUGUUGGGGGGGGGGAGAGAGAGAGAGAGAGAGAGAGAGAGAGAGAGAGAGAGAGAGAGAGAGAGAGAGAGAGAAGAGAAGAGAAGAGGAGAGGAGAGAAGAGAGAGAGAAUUAGGGGUGUGGAGCGGAGAGGAAAGAAACCAAGCAAGUCUGAUAAUUCCUUCUCCUUUCUCCAGGUUGAGCUAGAGGGAAUUCUGAAAGAGAGAAAAGAGAGGGUAAGGGCUGGGAGCCUGCUGAAAGAGCCCCUAAGACAAAGCAGAACUUCAAAGCUGCAGAGACGAGCAGAAUGUCAGCAGCUUGUAAUUAGCGGUUCAUGGUUGCGUCAGAGACUGUAUCUCUCCAAGAAUAACUGUGUGAUGUGUGCCACAGAGUGCAGGAGACAGUCAUAACUAAGUUAUCAAGCCUAGUUCACACAAGGGCAGAUGCAUGAAGGCUUUUUUCUGUUUGAAAAUCAAGUAUGGAUGGGGCACACAUCUCACGGGCUGGACUCUGCCUAAGUUCCGGCAGAAUGAUCAGUGUGUCAGUGGGAAUGUGUUUAUUACAUGAAGCAGUCGACCUGGAAGCAUGCAGAUUGAGUAUGCAAGCUCUCUGUCACUGUCAGAUACUGUCCCAAACAGCCCCACACUGCACUGCUGGGCUCCUGUCCCUGUACAUCCCCAUGACUUUUGCUUCUGUUUGUGACUGUCAAAGGGGGAAAGUCAAAAGUACACUCAAGUACCUAUGCCCCAUUAGAUUCUAAAAUCUCUACCGAGUGUGGGUUCUGAGUUUUUCAGUGCUCUUAAUUUGUGCCUGGACGAAGCUUUUGUUGUCUUGAAGCCAAACAGCAUCUUGCUGCCGAUCCCGUGGGGAGGUGUCAUACCACUGUGAUUGAGAGUUGAAGGGCACCUUCACUCCUCUACCUUGUCUCUGGUGUCUGGAGGUGCUGGCACUCUCUGCCCGCUACAGAGAGCUGGUGGGAGGAGCUGAUUGGCCGACAAGCUCAGGGUGUUUACUCUUAUUUGUUUUCAGUGUUCCUCUGCUGCAUGCAUUUAGUAGUUGUAUUUGUGUUCAUGCUGCACAAUUACUCCUGACCGGCUUUGUUUCUCUGCCCGAAGUGAAGUCAAUUUCAGUUCAGCCUCGGCAGUUGGGUCUCUGGGCGAUAUGCACAUGUGUAUUAUGUUACCCAUGUAUGCACUUUCCUGUUUAAAAUGUGGAUUAGGGAAAAUUGUAGGCAAGGAGAGCCAUGUAUAUUAAACGAAUAGCUUUUUGAAUCACAUGUAAUAUAAUUUAAAUAUACUCACUUUAAGGUUGCCAAAGCCUAUGUUGUCUGAGCCCAGUUAAUUUACAUCUUUGAUUUAGUCAAGGAGUGGAACCUGCCAGAUCAGAAUGCUGUAUUCUGUUCACCCAACAGGGUGGAAGACAUUAUUUUGUUUGUGUUAGUUCAAACAGCUGGUCAUUAAUGCAGUCCCCAUUUCUGGAGUGAAAUGCUGGUGGACAUGAAUGGCUGUCUGAUUAAUACUGCCCCUCCGAGGGUCCUUCACCCAGCCAUGCUCGUGCAGAAUAAUGUAGCAUGAUGUGAUUGCACUCUAACAGGAUAGUAUGUCAUUGUGUCACCAAGCAAUUGAGGUUAUUAUGGGGCAGGGCAGACAGACGGGACAGUGGGGUUACUAGACCGUAGCAUUUUUAGAAAUACAGGCCUGACCUACUUAGAGUUAUUCUGGCAGGCAGCUGCACGGUACAGAAAGUCUCCUGAUAGGCUGAGGCUGUUGCUAGGGGGAAUUAGCAUGAAUUUUUCCACACACAGACUCAGCGACUGAAUGAUAAAAGCUGACUGGAAUUAAAGAGAUUUGGUUUAGCAUUGUACAGAUUGAUCUGCCUCAGUUUUUUUUUUCCUUUUCUCAAGUGCAGAGAAAGAGUGCAAAAACAGAGAUUUUUGUUUCUAUUUGUUCUUUGACCUUCUCCUUCUCCCCCUCCUGUUCUUCACCCCCAAGAACCAGGAGUGGGGGAGAGCGGAACAGUUAGGAAAUUUUGUUUAAUCUCACUGUUGGGGGCAUGGAAACCAUGUUGCAAACGGCGAGAUAGUCAAGCUUGAGGACUGCUGGGCGUGUCUGGAAGAAGGGCAGAUGAUUUUUUUUUUCUUGUCUUCUGUGUAACAAGCUGUUUUGGAGUUGGGCAUGCAUCUUUCAUACACUGUAUAUUUUAUCCCCCCUUUUCCCUUUUGGACUUGAACAAAACAUUUACAUAAAUUUUUUUCUAUCCAAACAGAUUGAAGCUUGCAGUUGCUGGCUUGUUUAAAAUAAGAUAGACAAGAUCCCAGAUUUAGACAAGGAAAAAAACAUAUAUAUAUAUAUAUAUAUAUAUAUAUAUAUAUAUAUAUAUAUAUAUAUAUAUAUAAAACCACUUUUUUAUUACAAAAUAUUUUUUCUGGGCUAUUUUUGUCUUUUGAAAAACCCAGUAUGAUGUUUAUGCUCAGAGAUAGAAUUUAACUGCCCCCACCCACCCCUUUGUUUCCCAGUAUACAAAAAGCACUGUUUUCCUUUCUUUUUUUCUGCAGAAGAAAGUGUAGCUCCAGAAAACAGUCUCGAGACUGUUUUUCCAUGUUGCUGACACAGGCACUGUGUGUAGAAAGAGCUCACAUAAUCAAUUUUACAACUUGACCCAUUCCUGCCUCCACCCCCCCAGCGUCCCCAAGUGUCUGCAGUUUUAAUAGAUCUUUACAAGAGGAGGAUUUUUAAUAGAUCAUUUUAAGAUAAUCUGAAAGUCCAUCAAGACAAAAAUUAAAGCAAUGUGUAUUCAAGAAUACUUGGAGUUUUUCUUUUUUAAUUAUAUGCUAUCUGUGGUGUUUGUGCUGAAAAUAGUUAUUAUCCUGACAUUUUUAUUUGAAAUUAAUUUUUGUAAGAAAGUACUAUGAGUUCACAAGUAAACAAGGAGUUGAGCUACAUAAGCACUGGAGAGGAGAAAAAGAGACUGUGGUCAGAAUGUCCCACUGGAUUUCUUGGCUAUGUGUAAAGAAGCAAGAGGAUAUUCAGCUGUGGAUUUUCUUUUCAUUUAGGCUUUUUAGGUAUUCAGAAUUAUGUAGAUACAGACACUGUAGUGAAAACAAGCCCAAAAUAACUUAAUGGUAUCUAACCCAGAAAGCCAUUGAUUGUCCUCUUAAAAAAAAAUCCAUUGAGUGUUGUUUCCAUUUUAGCAUGUAAAUACAGCUUACCAAGCUGAAGUAGAGACCGUUGCCUGAUAUAGGGAUGAAUUGUGCCCUCCAUAGCUGGGCGAGUCCCCACAAUAGCAUAUUAAUCAUGAGGGGCUCCAACCAUCCAACAAUCUUUCGUAAUUGAAUAAAAGGUCAAUUUAUUUUUGCUGAGUAUAAAAUAUCCGUCUGUGCUCUUCCUUCUGAAAUGAUGCAAUUUUUUCUUACAAAGUUAUUUUAAUAAAUGAACAUUUUGACCUUCUACCAUAUUCACUUUGCUAAAGUCAAUGUAAAAUUAUUUAAAUAUUCAAGUGCAAGGAUAUAGAAAUAAAACAUCAAUUUUAAACCAGUAAAAUAAGGACAUAUUUUGCAUUAACAUUCUUUAAUGCACAGAUGCCUAAUUUAUAGAGCUUAUAGCCUGUGUCCAGGUAUGUAGUCACAGUGAAUGUUUGCUGUUUAAUGAAAAAUGAAUUGGCCACAUUGAAUUGUUCAGUAUAAUCUUUCUUGGUUGUUAAAAUUUUUUUUUCUUACUUUGAUUUUCAACCAUUACUAAAGAAGUAGGCAUUCGGUGCCAACAAAAAUAAAGAGAGCAUAUUUUAAAAUGUAAUUUAUGCUUACUUAACUUGAGUUAAACUUAACUUCUAGACAUUCCCUUAGAGCAUGUCAAUAGUAUAAUAGUAUCUGCUUCAUCCACUGCCAUUGAUCAGACAGCCAAAGGAACAAGCACACUCCCUCAUUGCAUUGAUUAUUUAUUAGGUGAGUGUUUCUUUUCUGCUCUCACAUCAAGCUGGCUUUUCCAGUUAUAUGGCCCAACAUAGAACAGUGAAUUUUGGGGAAAUCAGACAAGUGGUUGUUGGGGUCACCAAGUCCAGUUAGAUGCCAAGUAAAAUAUCUCUGUCAAGUAUUCUGUCCAAGAUCUGAUGUCACCUAAUCCCUGUAGCUUGGGAAAAGGACUGGUGGCUUUAAGACCUAGUACUUGGAGGUGAUCAGCCCUUCUGACCUCACCAAUAAGCGACAGCUCUUUCAAGCCAUCUCAACAACUGAUCCUGUUGACGAUCUAACAGUAAGUCAGUCUGUGUCUUUGUGAAGUCGUGUGAACAUACUCUAGCCCAGAGAUUUUCAAUAUCAUCAUUUAAACAGCUAGGAGUGUUUCAACAAUCCUAAGUGCCCAAACUGUGUGCCACCUGAGAUCCUGUCUGCCCCUCAGCCUGAUCCUGUCCUGUUCUCCUUUACCUGCUUUCUCUUCUUAGAUAAUCAGUACAUGCCAUGCUGUUAGCCUGUUUCUCCCACAUCUCUCAUCUCCAUUUUGUCCAUGUGCUAGGUGCAGAGAAGUUGGCUGAUUGAUGGAUGAAUGAAUGAGAAGAUGAAUGGUUAUCCAAUUACUUAAAAAUGAGUAAAUUAAUGGUUAUUCAGAAAGAAAAUUUCAUAGCUGUAUAAUGUAGCUGGUUAUUUGUGGACAUGCUUAGUGAUGAAGGUCCAAGUAGUUACGUUUUACGGCUCCUAAUCCCUAUGCAAUUGCUCAGCUUGCCUGAUAGAGCUAAAGGCAGCAAGGUGCAAAUACAGACAGAAUAUAAAUGAGUGAUCCAGACUGCCUUUCAAUGAAACUUCACUUCUAGAAACAGGCAAUGGGCCAGAUUCGGCCUAUGCGCUAUAGACACAGGUAUAUUGUUACCUAUAGUAUCUUGAAGAUACGACUUAAACAUAACAGAAAUACUCCUCAAUAUAUUUUUUAAAAAGGUGAAGAUUUAAAAAGUUCACAAAAAAUUAAGAAAAGAAGGAAGAGCAGUAUCAUUUAUAAUCUGAACUCACUGCCAGUCAACUGAGUGUUGAUUCUCUGUGAUGACAGGAAUAAGACAAUUCAUUUUGGAACUCAAGGAUUAAAGUAAACGUAAUUACUCUUUCUUAAGACGAUAUUGUUCAAGAUGCAAGAAGAAAUAGACAUUUUUUUAACUUUGCAAAAUUACCCUUCUGGUGUUGGUUGCCAGGGGUGAAGAGAGAGUUCCUACUCUGUAUUUGAAGGGCUGACAGGAAAUUGAAAAAAUGACAAAGAAUGAGUCUGCAGGGGUCUAGAGAAUGUAUUGCUUUUAUAGAGGACUUGAGUUUGGUUCCUAGCAUCCCUGUAGGACAGUGCAUAACUGCCUAUAGUUCCAAUUCAGCAGAUCUGACAGCCUCCUUUGGGACACAAUGGGCAGCUGCUUCACAUGUGGACAUAUCCACACACAGACACACAUAUACACAUAAUUAAAAAUGAAAUGAACAGCAGAAAAUGAUUGGAGCACAGCCUCCCAUUGUGCUGCUGUCUGGGUACUACUGUUGAAUCAGUGUAAAUACUGUAUUGGACUAGCUGGCCCUUAUUCCUGGAGGCAUGAAAUCACAGGCUAUGUAGAUGUUGAUCUGCAAUGCACUUUCUCCUACAGUUUUAUAUCUGUAUAUAUAUAUGUCCUAAAGCUUCAUUUACAAAUCUGGCAUAGUAAGAAAUCAACAGUAAAGACUCCUGAUAAGAUACAGUAAUUUAAAUGAACUAUAAUAGAAAUUGCUAAAAAGGUGAUUUCUAUAUGUGUGUCUGGUAUAUGUGGGUGACAUGCGCACAUGUCUAUGUGAAUGCCAGAGGUUGAUGGUAGGUGUCUUCCUCUGUCGCUCUCCACUUUCUUUUGCUGAGACAAGCUCUCUCACUGAACCUGGAGCUCACUGGCUGGGCAAGACUAGAGGUAAAUAUAUAGGUGUCCACUAUACUGGGAGGGAUUGCAUAUUUAUUCUCUUCGAAUUUUUAAAAGUUGACUUGGAUUUUAGCUAAUUCUCUUCAUAGAGUGCCCUAGACAAACAGCUUUUUUUUUCUUCCUGUUUGUAAGGCCAAAGACAGAUGGAAACAAAAGAAGGCGGGGAGGGGGGGCGUGGGGGAGGGCACCCAUUCUUUUGCCGUAAGGCUAUAUUUGCAUUAUUUUCAAAUUAUGAUUAAGGCUUAGCUCUUCCAAAAACCUUAUCCUGGUCCAGUGGCUUUGGCGGAACAGGAGUCUGCUAGCAUUCUUCAGUCUUGAACUGGUUAUGUGUCUGGUGACUUCUUAAAAAAAUGCAUUUGCCGUUCAUCAACAACCUGACUUCUCCAUUCCUCUCGAGUCUGCUUUCUUUGAAUCCUUUUCAGCACCUAAAUGUGGCUUAGACUGUCCUAAUCCACAGGAUUCCUGUUAAAGUGUUAUUCACCUCCAUGGGACUGCACAUACCCCAGGCUGGAAAAUUGUGUCUUUCUCUGAUACCCAGUGGAGCCAUCUGUGUGUUCUCAGUGCUCAAAUAAUAGUGAAAUUAAUGGCUGCCAUAAAUUUGCCCAUUCUGCAUGUAUAUCCUAAUCAUUCAUAUUACACAUGUCACUUGGACUUUUGCUAAACUAUUAAUAGUGAAUAUAAAUUAAUGAUGAGAUUGAAUCUAUCCCAGCAGUCAUGGAAAAUGACUUAAAGAGGCAGUGGCUUACCCUUAGUCACAGAAUCAGUUAAGUGAAAAAUACACACAUUUCUUUGCCUUGUCCAGAGAUCAAAAACCAUUCGUUCUACACUUUUAUUUAGAUAAGAGAGCUACACAAAGAUGAAAGGAGAAAACAAAAUUUUAAAAAUUAACAAGAACAGAUACUGUUUUAAAAGCAAUAAUAAUCAUUAUUGUUUCAUAGGAAUUUCAUAAAAUGUAUGUCUUAUUCUGAGUACGAUGUUCUCAGUUGAGAAGCUUAUUAAAUGAAAAAUGUUCUGGAAACAUCCGUUGAAUUGGAUACUUGGUAUCUGAGCUUGUCUUUAUAUUUUUUCUUAAUAAAAAGAAAUCCUUUGGUUGUCUAAGAGAAAUGUUAGAAAAAUGCUCUUUGAUGCUUUGGAGGACCCUUUCUUCCCAGCAAGGCUAAGCACAUUCACAGCAGAGGUGCGGCAGCAGGAGGGGUGGGGUGCGGCUGAAUGUCUCUGGUCUCCCUGGGGCUUUUCCCUUGCUAUUGCCAGUGGCUACAAAUGGCCACCAACCCCAGAAAAGUGAAUGGAACAGCAUGCAAGCCAAAGUCUCUUUGUACUCACUUCCAUUUGCUAGGUGUGAUUGAAUAUUUUGAAAGAAGCGGAUACGUAAAAAUGGGCAUUUAGCUAGAACCGUUUAGAAAUGAUCCAUUUCCUUCGUUUUCUUUUCAAAUAUAUUUGAUGUCAUGGCUUUGGACUCUGCCUACCCCUCUUAUUAUCUAGGUUAUUCAUCCAUCCUAUAAAAGACAAAUGGUAAGUACCAGGUAGAUGACACUGGGCUUAGCAUGUUUUUCCUCCUCUAACUACUAUAGAUUCCGGUGUUUUGUCCUUGUUCUGUUACCAGGAGUCCCUCCUUCAUCUGAUUUUCCAGGCCACAGUCAUUAAAGUUCACAGCACAGAGGCCCCUUGGUCUCGGGGUCCAGUUACAAGCAUGAAGAAUGCCAGUAUUGUUUUGUAAGAAUGACUGCUGGCACCUUGAAUGUUGCUGUGCUCAGAGCAAAAGAUGUGAGGGAUUUGUAAUGUUUUAAUUUUAGGAACUCUCUUUACACUUGGUUAUUGGAAGAACAUUCCACAGAGAUCUGCAUGUCAGGGCAUUUCAGCAGAAAACCCAGAAAUAUCAGGAGUGGUGUUUGGUGAUCAUCAAUCUUAACUAGAGCCAGUGGACUCUUAAGGAGGUAUGGAAACUGUUUGUUUGCUUUGUCUUUUUUUUUUAAUAACAGACAUAAAUCAUAAAACAGAGAAGGCUCAUAGCAAAAUAUUGAUAAUUUAAAGCCAAUUCAAAUGAGGGAGAGUAAACAGUUUGGAAAGAGUGUGCCUUCUCUUGAUCUAGUCUCCACCAUGUUAGGAUUUAGGGCUGGAGGUUGGCGGUCCCAAUUAGUUUUGAGUACUCAUUGAGGCCAACAGGGCUCACUGAGUUUGCAGACAUCCCUUUGGAAUUACUCUCAAGAACCUGUACAGACAGAAUGGUAGUGUGGUAGAGGACUGUGCUGUCAUAGCAUUGCUUAUUUUAAAAUCAGUGUUUGACCCUGGAAGCUUGACUUGCUGUAUUAUAUACCAAAUCCAUAAAGGUAAACCAAUCCCAUUUACUUUAAAUCUGUCCACAGCACCGUAAGACCCUUAAGAAAUUAGUAUUUUCAUAGGCAUUGUAUCUGGGUAGAACUGUUGAUUGUCUCUCUCCUUUGGAAGCCUGCAUGAUGACCUCUGGUACUGUAAAAGCUAGUCUUGAUGGAGAGACAUUUAGGUCAAUUCCAGCUCAGGCAUUAUGGGGACUGUUUCUGAAGUGCAUGGUGUCCUCAGCAAUAGGGACUUGCCUUCCACCUCUUGGAGGUAACCAGGGGCAGGAGCAGUAAUAGGCUGUACAUUUUGGGGGUCUCUUCCACAGCUCUGGGCAAUAACUCAAGUGAGGGUUUCCCAUAUCUGGUAUUGGAGUUUUUGUUAGUUGGUCUUUGGCUCUUGGAGAGAGGGCCAUUAGCAAGAUGAGAAAAGUUCAUUAAAACUAUAUAUGUAUAUUUAUGGAUAUGCCAAACUGGGCAGAGAAAAGACCAUGAGCCCUCAACCCUACAUAAAGGACUAUAGCCAACUCAGAAAGCCGAGAACAGGAAAAGUGGUCUUCCUCAAGGAGAGUACAUCAAUUGGUUGUCCAGUGCCCUGAGAACAUAUAUACAAAUUAACUUAUAUGGACUGAACAGGUUAUAUUUAGGAAUACAUAUAAGCAUGGGAGAACAAUUAGUGUACAAAGAGGCCACAAAUUUGAAGGAGAGAGUGAAUGAGGUAUUUGUGAGUUUUGGAGGAAGGAAAGGGAAGGAAUAAAUAUAAUUAUAAUUUCAAAAAUAGAAAAAGAACUUAAAAAUGAUUAGUAUUUUCUCAGUGUAGCUCAGUUGUGCAAGGAAAGGUCCAGAAUAGAUGUUAUCUAUGUCUACAUUUGUCUCUUUCCUCUUUCUUUCUUUCCUCCCUCCCUUGCUCCCUCCCUCCCUCCCUCCUUUCCUUCUUUCCUUCCUUGCUUCUUCCUUUAUUUCUUCCUGUAUUUUAAAUUUGGUACUGAGCACUAAUGACUUAUAGAAUCUGUCUUAAAAUGUCCACAUUGCAUCUGCUUUCAAGCCACUCCAUACACAUGUAGAUAGCAUGGUCAACCAACUGAUAUACUCUUCCCUGUAGACCAUCUCUUCCAUUUCCAGCUUUCCCCGGUUGGCUAUAGUUCUUUUCAGUUUUUUGGAUUCCCCUUAUGAACAACUUGAAAGGAGAUUUCUCAUACAUGGACUGGGGUUUUGUUAGUCUAAGGCUAUUGAUAGAUACAUGUCUUACAUGUGAUGUAAUAUGAUUCUUUAUGGCCUUUUCAAACAUAUUUGAUGUUAUUUAUCCAUCCUCCCUCUUCUUCCUUCUGUAUUGUCCCUAUUUCCCCUGUUAAAGAUUCACCCUGCUCUUUCCAUUUUCCUCCUCACCUGCAUCCUGCAUUUCCCCUCUCUGGGGCUCCUUUCAAACCUCCAUGGUCCCUUUUUACUUUCCGAAUUUCUGCAGUUACUCAAAUCUGAGAAUUUGAAGCUAGGAAUUUCAGACAAGAAAGAACAUGCAACAUUUCUCUUUCUGGGUCUGAGUUACCUCACUUAAUAAACUGUUUUCCAGAUCCAUCCAUUUACCUGAAAAUGUAGUGAUUUCAUUUUUUUUUUUUUUUUGCAGCUGAAUAGUAUACCAUUUUGUAUAUGUACCAUAUUUUGGUGAUUCGUCCAUCAGUUGAAGGACAUUUAGGUUGUUUUCUUUUCUUUGCUAUUGUGAACAGAGUGGCAAUGAACAUGGUAUCCUAUGUUUUUGGAGAUCCUAUAUUUUUGAAGCUGUGACCAAGUUUCUCUUUACUUAGUCAUGGUAUAUGGAGUGUCAUAAACUUGGGGUUUCCAAGUGGACUAAUGACAUCACAGUUGAAGUUACGUCAUGAAGAACUGUUACCCUGGAGAUAUUUCCUAUAUUCAAGGGAAGAGGAAGAAGAGUUCCACGUCUUGAAAUCUACCAGAUUUCUCCAUGCUUUUGUUUCUGGAAUAUCAGAUAUACUUAUCUUGAAUCUGUAUUUAUACUGGGGGAUUUGGAUGAAAACAAAAAUUUAAAUAUAUAGUGAACUUACAAAUGAGAACAGAAGUUUAGACUACAUGUUGUCUAAGGUAGUCAUUUGCCCAAUUGAGGCUACUAACUGCAGUGGACUGGAAAUGUAUGACUACUGUGUACUAGGAACAUGACUGUACAAAUGGAGAUGUUUUGUAAGGAUAAAACCAACUUACCAUGAUAAAGGAAAUGUGAAAUAAUAUAGUUCACCAAGUUAAAUAUUGAUGAUGGUAUUAAAAGUGGUGAAUGGUACAACAUUAGUAUUUUUGAUGUAUUAAAGUUUACAAUUUUUAGAACUGAUAUUUAUUUUACUUCCUUUUAAGACAGUCUCAUACAGCUCAGACUGGCCUUGAACUCACAAUGUAGCCAAUGAUAACCUUGAACCUCUGAUCCUCUUCUUGCCUUUGCCAUCUGAGUGCUGGGAUUAUGUGUGUGUAUGCAGAUGCAGACACACCUAGUUUCAUGUUGAGUCUUGAACCCAGGGCUUCAUGAGUGUUGGACAAGCACCCUAUUAACUGAGCUACAUCCACAACUCCUUUUUGCUCUUACUUUAAAAUGUGGCUUCUAGAUCAUUUGAAACGAUACACAUGCCUUAUCUUCCAUUUCUACUGGACAAAGCUCCUCUCUAAUAAGCCGUUAUCAUUUUUUCAUGUGGAAGCUGUCACUGUGUCCCAGGAGCUUCAUAAAUACCAUUACCAUUGCGGAUUAGGACACCGAGAGAAUGUGGUGAGCAGAGGAAGGUUCUACUCUGGAACCACUGUUAGAAUUGACCCUUCAUGAGUCUCUUCUGGAAGCUGUUAGGUUUGCACAACACACACACACACACACACACACACACACACACACACACACACACACACACACACACAGCCAUCCACAUUUUCAUCCCAAAGAGCUGACUCAGAAUGCUUGCAAGUAAUCCAGAGGUGAUAUAGUAGGCUAUACGUGAAGAAAAGAAUUGAAAUCAAUUUCCAAGAACCCACUCAUCUCAUUCUUGGUGCUGCUAACAUUUGGGUCAGAAAAUUCUCUGUUGUAGCAGAUAUCCAAUGUUUCAUGGGCUCUUCAGCAUUGUCCCCAAUGUCUAUAUAUCAGUGAGAAACAGCACUACAUACAUAGACUAUCAUUGGCCAAGGAUAAGAGAAUAUGGAAAUUGUAUGCCAAUACAUUUGAUGAGCAUGAUAAAAAUGUAAAAGCUGAUGAGAAGACCAGAUGUCAAAAUUAUUCAAAGAGGAUAUAGGAACUUUCAAUCCACUGGUGUCGAUAAAAAAGUUGUAUAAAAUUACUUUCAGGUCAUGCGUAUGUGAAAUAUGAGUUGUGUACGUAGACUUGAUUCUUAUUCCCAAGAUACUUCACGCUAGUCCUGCAAGCAUUACUGUCGGAAAACAAAUCCCGAAGAUGAAAGCCUUCUAGUCUGUCCCAAGCCUUUCACGCUGCCUGCAUACAGAUGCGACUGCUGUGAUUCAUGUACUGAUAACUCACCCAUGUCGUAUGUUUAAAUUAUAUUAAAAAUACAUCCUACAAAGCACUUGUAUACAUACUAUAAAAACAGAUUUGUAAUAUAGUUACAGUGCUGUAAUGUGUUCUAUCAUAUUAAAAUGCUAUGUUUAUAAUGUA